ACUUGGUGGAGACAAGAAACCACAAAAAAAAACAGGGAGUAACCGAAAAUCCAUAAGAGUAGGAUUUAA
Molecule: non-coding RNA, 69 nt
Organism: Bacteroidetes bacterium GWF2_33_16
Lineage: Bacteria; Pseudomonadati; Bacteroidota
Source: Rfam